UACGAAGGGGGCAAGCGUUAUCCGGAAUUACUGGGCGUAAAGAGUUGCGUAGGUGGCACUGUAAGUUGUUAGUGAAAGCGUCCGGCUCAACCGGAUACACAUUACCAAAACUGCAGAGCUAGAGGACAAGAGAGGUUAUUGGAAUUCCUAGUGUAGGAGUGAAAUCCGUAGAUAUUAGGAGGAACACCGAUGGCGUAGGCAGAUAACUGGCUUGUUCCUGACACUAAGGCACGAAAGCAUGGGUAGCAAACAGG
This 254-nucleotide ribosomal RNA is filed under the name uncultured bacterium. RNAcentral describes it as "partial 16S ribosomal RNA". It matches the Rfam family "Bacterial small subunit ribosomal RNA", at positions 524 to 776 of the family's 1533-position model. The record is from RNAcentral.